UUGGAGUUCCAGCAAUGUGGCUGGUGUUUGACUGCCCAGGGCAAGAUGAGUGUGACUGGAUACCGAGCUAUUCAUUGUUCUGCAAAUGACGCAAAAAGCUGCCAGUGUGUAGUUAAUCUCCCCCUUCUCCUUAGCCAGGCCUCAAAUUGGGAGUGAGAAGCCCAGUCUGCUCCCCUGACCUCAUGUCGUGCCCUCACCGUCUCCCUCUCUGGCAUCUGUGCCUCCAUAGAUCCAAUCCCGCACACUCCCAGAGGACGGACUCUCGUCUACUAAUGUUCUGUUUCUGAGUUCUCCCCAAAGCGAGCACAUUAAAUGCCCACAAACAGCUUGCACUUUUAGGGUGUACCGCUUUUAAGCAUUACAUCAGAAAUGUAAACAUUCCAAGGGAAAAGAAUAACUAAUUUGAAUAUAAUUUUAAAAUCACCUGUAUUUGGGGCUGGCCCUGUGGCAUAGUGGGUAAAGCUGCCGCCAGCAGUGCCGGCAUCCUAUAUGGGCACUGGUUCGUGUCCCAGCUGCUCCAAUUCCAAUCCAGCUCUCUGCUAUGGCCUGGGAAAGUAAUAGAAGAUGGCCCAAGUCCUUGGACCCCUGCACCCUCAUGGGAGACCCAGAAGAAGCUCCUGGUUCCUGGCUUCAGAUUGGCACAGCUCUGACCAUUGUAGCCAAUUGGGAAGUGAACCAGCAGAUAGAAGAUCUCUCUCUCUCUCUCUUUCUCUGCCUCUUCUUUUAUGUGUAACUCUGACUUUCUAAUUAAAUAAAUAAAUAUUUUAAGAAAAGAUUUAUUUAUUUUAUUUGAAAGGCAGAGGCAGAGAGAGAGAGAGGUCUUCCAUUAGCUGGUUGACUCCCUAAAUGGCCGCAACAGCCAGAGCUGUGCUGAUCCGAAGCCAGGAGCUUCUUUUGGAUCUCCCAAACAAGUGCUGGGGCUCAAGGACUUGGGCCAUCUUCUACUGAUUUCCCAGGCCAUAGCAGACAGCUGGAUUGGAAGUGGAACAGCUGGGAUUCAAAUUGUUGCCCAUAUGGGAUGCUGGCAGUGCAGGCAGUGGCUUUACCUGCUAUACCACAGGACCAGCCCCACAGCAAAUGUUUUGUAGUUAAUUCUCUUAAGCUGAACUAAACUUUAGAAACAAGUUAACAUUUCAUGUAAUGUUACUCACUUUUUAAAAAAAUAUUUAUUUAUUUGAGAGGUAGAGCUACAGAGACAAAGAGAGACAAAGAGAAAGGUCUUUCAUCUGCUGGUUCACUCCCCAAAUGACCACAAUGGCCGGAGAUAGGCUGAUCCAAAGCCAGGAGCCAGGAGCUUCUUCCAGAUCUCCCACAUGGGUGCAGGUGCCCAGGGACUUGAGCCAUCCUCCACUAUUUUCCCAGCUGGAUCAGAAGAGGGGCAGCCAGGACUUGAGCCAGCACCCAUAUGUUGGCCUACUGCGUGACAGCGCCGGCCUCCACUUCACCCGUUUUUCACUCCUGGUGUAAUUAUUCACUGCCAUUGGUGUAUGGUAGGUGAACCUCUGAGGGAACUACACAGAUGAACCAGUGAUGCCAGAAGGGAAAAUGUUUCACUUUACACGAGGAGACAAACACAACUGCUUUGGCUUCUAGGAGUGCGAGCAAUCAUUUCAGGAAAGACAGUUCAUUCAAGGUGACGGUGAUGGAAAUCCGCUAAGGGAUAGAAGAAAACAGAAUUCAAAAAGAACGAAUAAACAGCAAACUCCUCAUCUUGCAAGGGCUGCAUUAGGUGCGCAUCAUUCUUAGGCUCGAGUGACGUAUUUCUGCAGCCACAAGAAGACGAACCUUCUCAACCGAGUAUACUCAUCUGACAAUGUACAGGAAUAAAUUGAUGUUUGUG
Oryctolagus cuniculus (rabbit) is the source of this 1840-nucleotide non-coding RNA. Lineage: Eukaryota; Metazoa; Chordata; Mammalia; Lagomorpha; Leporidae. The record is from RefSeq and is a predicted model, not a curated record.